Molecule: long non-coding RNA, 564 nt
Organism: Scylla paramamosain (green mud crab)
Lineage: Eukaryota; Metazoa; Arthropoda; Malacostraca; Decapoda; Portunidae
Exons: 5
Source: RefSeq, a predicted model, not a curated record
CGCCAAUCCGCCAUUACGAGGAACAGCUUCAGGAAGGAGUGGUUGUCUCUCCCUGUUUUCCUUUGCUGCUCGCCGCUCGUGUUGAGAUACGGAUGUGCGUGUGUGUAUGUGUGUGUGUGUCACUGCAUCCCUGUAGGUGUGAGAGUUACACCUUGGAGGGACGAGGAGCUGGCGACUGUGUGAGAAAACCGCUGUUCGUUCCUUCCCCGCACGACCAGCCGCCCACCAGAGGGAGACAGCGACGUGGGCUUCUGUACAUCUCUUGACACCUGCCAAUACUCAGUAACACAGGCCGCUUGACGCCGCCACUGCCAGAGAUUGCGAGUCUACCUGUGGCCCUUCAAACGCCCCUGAAUCGACCCGAGUGACUCCCAGCUUCUUCAUCCCGCCAGGCACUCCCGGGUAGGCUGCCUUCGACACCUUGGCCACCAGGAACAAGACGAACACGGUACAGGAUGCCCUAAGAAAUACCGGCCAUUUCUCCUGCUCAGUAGCGCGGAAGGACGAGCAGGUCAUCACAAUAACUCCUCGGAUGACGUACAGUGCCAGUCCAUUACGGCAGGC